GACGAACGCUGGCGGCGUGCCUAACACAUGCAAGUCGAACGGAACUGUUUUGAAAGAUUUCUUCGGAAUGAAUUUGAUUUAGUUUAGUGGCGGACGGGUGAGUAACGCGUGAGUAACCUGCCUUCAAGAGGGGAAUAACAUUCUGAAAAGAAUGCUAAUACCGCAUGACAUAUCGGAACCACAUGGUUUUGAUAUCAAAGAUUUUAUCGCUUGAAGAUGGACUUGCGUCCGUUUAGUUUGUGGGUGAGGUAACGGCUCACCAAGACCGGGAUCGGUAGCCGGAGUGAGAGGUUGGACGGCCACAUUGGGACUGAGACACGGCCCAGACUCCUACGGGAGACAGCAGUGGGGGAUAUUGCGCAAUGGGGGCAACCCUGACGCAGCAACGCCGCGUGAAGGAUGAAGGUUUUCGGAUUGUAAACUUCUUUUAUUAAGGACGAAAAAUGACGGUACUUAAUGAAUAAGCUCCGGCUAACUACGUG
RNAcentral lists this ribosomal RNA (482 nucleotides) under uncultured bacterium. RNAcentral's name for it is "partial 16S ribosomal RNA". It matches the Rfam family "Bacterial small subunit ribosomal RNA", at positions 28 to 507 of the family's 1533-position model. The record is from RNAcentral.